AGGAUUAUAGUUUAAACUCAUAAAACAAUUGAUUUGCAAUCAAUAAAUAUUAAAUUAAUUUAUCUUA
RNAcentral lists this transfer RNA (67 nucleotides) under Paduniella fasciaria. RNAcentral's name for it is "tRNA-Ala". It matches the Rfam family "tRNA". Rfam says of the family: Transfer RNA (tRNA) molecules are approximately 80 nucleotides in length. Their secondary structure includes four short double-helical elements and three loops (D, anti-codon, and T loops). Further hydrogen bonds mediate the characteristic L-shaped molecular structure. tRNAs have two regions of fundamental functional importance: the anti-codon, which is responsible for specific mRNA codon recognition, and the 3' end, to which the tRNAs corresponding amino acid is attached (by aminoacyl-tRNA synthetases). tRNAs cope with the degeneracy of the genetic code in two manners: having more than one tRNA (with a specific anti-codon) for a particular amino acid; and 'wobble' base-pairing, i.e. permitting non-standard base-pairing at the 3rd anti-codon position. Lineage: Eukaryota; Metazoa; Arthropoda; Insecta; Trichoptera; Psychomyiidae. The record is from RNAcentral.